Molecule: ribosomal RNA, 305 nt
Filed under: uncultured bacterium
Lineage: Bacteria
Description: bacterial SSU rRNA
Rfam family: Bacterial small subunit ribosomal RNA
Source: RNAcentral
AUACCUACGGGAGGCAGCAGUGGGGGAUAUUGCACAAUGGGGGAAACCCUGAUGCAGCGACGCCGCGUGGGCGAAGAAGUAUUUCGGUAUGUAAAGCCCUAUCAGCAGGGAAGAAGAAAUGACGGUACCUGAGUAAGAAGCACCGGCUAAAUACGUGCCAGCAGCCGCGGUAAUACGUAUGGUGCAAGCGUUAUCCGGAUUUACUGGGUGUAAAGGGAGCGUAGACGGCCAUGCAAGCCAGGGGUGAAAGCCCGGGGCCCAACCCCGGGACUGCCCUUGGAACUGUGCGGCUAGAGUGCGGGAGG